UAGCAACAACCCGCUAAGAUACCCGCUUAACCUCAAGGUGAAUCAAACAGCGGGUGCAUAAAAUGUUUUAAUAAGUGUUUUUUAUUUUUAUGACAGAAUAAUUCAAAGCACGCACGGGGAAAUAAGUGUUAGUCACAUUAAAGUGAACAGAGAGAGAGGCGUUUUCCCAGCGGGAGCCGCUAGCUGCUAACGAGGUCCUGACAAACAGGAAAAAUAAGCCUGACUGGAAACACCCAAACACCCAUUGUGUUUCAGGAUCCCAUUGGAUCAAUUCAGCAGAGAUCUCUACUUUUACACUCCCUGAUGCAUCCAGCUGCCUGCAGUUUUGAAACAAGAUGCUGCUUCGCUAAAAAAUGUGAAAAACAGCAGUGUGUUAAAUCAUGUUUUUUUUGUGCUUUAUUUCAUUUGGAAAAGAAAAAAAGAUUAUAGCACUGAAAAGCUAUAAUUAAUAAGCCCUUAAAGACUUUAAAUAAACCUCUUAAGAGAUUGCUUUCUUUAAACCAAUUUUUCUGUUUUAUAAAAUUAGUGCAGAAUACUCAGUGUGAAUGACCUGUCUGCUUAAAGACAUAUGGACAAUUAUUGCAUACAAAAGAUUAAUGGUCAACUAAUGGACUGGAAAACAAUCUUGGACCACUGUUCCUCCCUUGUGUUGCUUGGUUGUAGUCAACUAGUCAAGGCAGUCAGUUGGUUUUCCUUCGAUAAAAAAAACUUUGAACUAAUCUGACUGUAUGAUCAGGUUGCAUUGUCUUUGUAAACCGCUUUGAGAUGACACGUGUCUUGAAUUGGCACUAUAUGA
Molecule: long non-coding RNA, 796 nt
Organism: Cyprinodon tularosa
Lineage: Eukaryota; Metazoa; Chordata; Actinopteri; Cyprinodontiformes; Cyprinodontidae
Exons: 3
Source: RefSeq, a predicted model, not a curated record